This 384-nucleotide ribosomal RNA is filed under the name uncultured bacterium. Its description in RNAcentral is "bacterial SSU rRNA". It matches the Rfam family "Bacterial small subunit ribosomal RNA", at positions 28 to 414 of the family's 1533-position model. The record is from RNAcentral.
GACGAACGCUGGCGGCGUGCUUAACACAUGCAAGUCGAGCGGUAAGGCCCUUUCGGGGGUACACGAGCGGCGAACGGGUGAGUAACACGUGAGUGACCUGCCCUCAGCUCUGGGAUAAGCCUGGGAAACCGGGUCUAAUACCGGAUAUGACUCCAUGACGCAUGUUGUGGGGUGGAAAGCCUUGUGCGGCUGAGGAUGGGCCCGCGGCCUAUCAGCUUGUUGGGGGGUGAUGGCCUACCAAGGCGACGACGGGUAGCCGGCCUGAGAGGGCGACCGGCCACACUGGGACUGAGACACGGCCCAGACUCCUACGGGAGGCAGCAGUGGGGAAUCUUGCGCAAUGGGCGAAAGCCUGACGCAGCGACGCCGCGUGAGGGAUGACGG